AGAGUUUGAUCCUGGCUCAGGACGAACGCUGGCGGCAUGCCUAAUACAUGCAAGUCGAACGAGCUGACGGAGUGCUUGCACUCCCGACGCGAGUGGCGGACGGGUGAGUAACACGUGGGAAACCUACCUGUAAGUAGGGGAUAACAUUCGGAAACGGAUGCUAAUACCCUAUAGGUUUCAGUUCCGCAUGGAACUGAAAGGAAAGACGGCUCUGCUGUCGCUUACAGAUGGUCCCGCGGCGCAUUAGCUAGUUGGUGGGAUAAAAGCUCACCAAGGCUGUGAUGCGUAGCCGACCUGAGAGGGUAACCGGCCACACUGGGACUGAGACACGGCCCAGACUCCUACGGGAGGCAGCAGUAGGGAAUCUUCCGCAAUGGACGAAAGUCUGACGGAGCAAUGCCGCGUGAAUGAAGAAGGUCUUCGGAUCGUAAAAUUCUGUUGUUAGAGAAGAACAAGGAGUAACUAACUACUACUCCCUUGACGGUAUCUAACCAGAAAGCCACGGCUAACUACGUGCCAGCAGCCGCGGUAAUACGUAGGUGGCAAGCGUUGUCCGGAUUUAUUGGGCGUAAAGGGAGCGCAGGCGGUGACUUAAGUCUGAUGUGAAAGCCCACGGCUCAACCGUGGAAGGUCAUUGGAAACUGGGUCACUUGAAUAUAGAAGAGGAAAGUGGAAUUCCAUGUGUAGCGGUGAAAUGCGUAGAUAUAUGGAGGAACACCAGUGGCGAAGGCGACUUUCUGGUCUAUUAUUGACGCUGAGGCUCGAAAGCAUGGGGAGCAAACAGGAUUAGAUACCCUGGUAGUCC
This 805-nucleotide ribosomal RNA is filed under the name uncultured bacterium. RNAcentral describes it as "bacterial SSU rRNA". It matches the Rfam family "Bacterial small subunit ribosomal RNA", at positions 8 to 796 of the family's 1533-position model. The record is from RNAcentral.